AGAGUUUGAUCCUGGCUCAGAAUCAACGCUGGCGGCGUGCCUCAGACAUGCAAGUCGUACGAUUAAAGCUCUCUUCGGAGAGUGUAUAGAGUGGCGCACGGGUGAGUAACACGUAAGUAAUCUACCUUCGAGUGGGGAAUAACAGUCGGAAACGACUGCUAAUACCGCAUAAUGCAGCGGCACCUAAUGGUGACAGUUGUUAAAGCAUUUAUGUGCUUGAAGAGGAGCUUGCGGCAGAUUAGCUAGUUGGUAAGGUAAUGGCUUACCAAGGCAACGAUCUGUAGCCGACCUGAGAGGGUGGUCGGUCACACUGACACUGAAUAACGGGUCAGACUCCUACGGGAGGCAGCAGUCGGGAAUUUUGGGCAAUGGGCGAAAGCCUGACCCAGCAACGCCGCGUGAAGGAUGAAGUAUUUCGGUAUGUAAACUUCGUAAGAAUGGGAAGAAUAAAUGACGGUACCAUUUGUAAGGUCCGGCUAACUACGUGCCAGCAGCCGCGGUAAUACGUAGGGACCAAGCGUUGUUCGGAUUUACUGGGCGUAAAGGGCGCGUAGGCGGCAGUUCAAGUCAUCUGUGAAAUCUCCGAGCUUAACUCGGAACGGUCAGAUGAUACUGUUUUGCUAGAGUGCAGAAGGGGCAAUCGGAAUUCUUGGUGUAGCGGUGAAAUGCGUAGAUAUCAAGAGGAACACCUGAGGUGAAGACGGGUUGCUGGGCUGACACUGACGCUGAGGCGCGAAAGCUAGGGUAGCAAACGGGAUUAGAUACCCUGGUAGUCC
This 776-nucleotide ribosomal RNA is filed under the name uncultured bacterium. RNAcentral describes it as "bacterial SSU rRNA". It matches the Rfam family "Bacterial small subunit ribosomal RNA", at positions 8 to 796 of the family's 1533-position model. The record is from RNAcentral.